GGGUUUCCCGGGCAAUGCCAAUCAGCCCGGGGUCAGUCGGGUCCUAAGUCUAAGCCGAACGGCGAUGGCGAUGGCAGAGACGGUUAAUAUUCCGUCACUGCCGCAUGGGGCGACGUGGAGACGGAGCAGUGAAACCACCGCGGGGCGACGGAAGUCCCCGUUGAAGAGUGUAGGUGUUGAGGAUGGCAGGCAAAUCCACCGUCCGAGCAGAACUUGAUAGUAUGGAGUCUUCUUCGGAAGAAUCCAAUAGUGUGGGUAAUCAUACUCCCGAGAAAAUCCGCUAAGCUUAACCCAUGCGGCACCCGUACCGCAAACGGACACACGUGGUCGGGUAGAACAUACUGAGGCGUUGAGAGAUUCAUGGUUAAGGAACUAGGCAAAUUGACCCUGUAACUUCGGGAUAAAGGGUCCUCGUGAAUAGCGAGGCGCAGAGAAUAGGUCCAGGCAACUGUUUAACAAAAACACAGGGCUGUGCAAACUCGAAAGAUGACGUAUACAGCCUGACACCUGCCCGGUGCCGGAAGGUUAAGAGGAGAUGUCACUCGCAAGAGGAAGCAUUGAAUUGAAGCCCCGGUAAACGGCGGCCGUAACAAUAACGGUCCUAAGGUAGCGAAAUUCCUUGUCGGGUAAGUUCCGACCUGCACGAAUGGUGUAAUGAUCCGGACGCUGUCUCAACCAUGAGCUCAGUGAAAUUGUAGUAUCGGUGAAGAUGCCGAUUACCCGCGAUGGGACGAAAAGACCCCGUGAACCUUUACUACAGCUUAGCAUUGACCUUGGUCAUCCGAUGUGUAGGAUAGGCCGGAGGCUUCGAAGCGGGAGCGCCAGCUUUCGUGGAGCCAUCCUUGAAAUACGGCCCUUUGGCUGUCUGAGGUCUAACGCGUGAAACACGGACACUGCUUGGUGGGUAGUUUGACUGGGGUGGUCGCCUCCAAAAGCGUAACGGAGGCUUCCAAAGGUGCCCUCGGGUCGAUUGGUAACCGACCUCAAAGAGUGCAAUGGCAUAAGGGCGCUUGACUGGGAGGCAGACAUGCCGAGCAGGCAGGAAACUGGGGCAUAGUGAUCCGGCGGAUGUGUAUGGAAACUCCGUCGCUCAAAGGAUAAAAGGUACUCCGGGGAUAACAGGCUGAUCCCCCCCAAGAGCUCAUAUCGACGGGGUGGUUUGGCACCUCGGUGUCGGCUCGUCACAUCCUGGGGCUGGAGAAGGUCCCAAGGGUUGGGCUGUUCGCCCAUUAAAGUGGCACGCGAGCUGGGUUCAGAACGUCGUGAGACAGUUCGGUCUCUAUCUAUCGUGGGCGUGGGAGUUUUGAGUGGUGCCGUCACUAGUACGAGAGGACCGUGAUGGACAGACCUCCGGUUUACCAGUUGUGCCGCCAGGCGCACCGCUGGGUAUCUGAGUCUGGAUUGGAUAAGCGCUGAAGGCAUCUAAGUGCGAAGCCAGCCGCAAGAUGAGAACUCCAUUGAGGGUCGUCAGAGACGAUGACGUUGAUAGGAUGCAGGUGUAAAGACAGCGAUGUCAAAGCCGAGCAUUACUAAUUGCCC
Molecule: ribosomal RNA, 1539 nt
Filed under: metagenome
Description: bacterial LSU rRNA
Rfam family: Bacterial large subunit ribosomal RNA
Source: RNAcentral